AACAACUUUGUCAACAAACAACUGAUGUGACAGAAUAAGUUAAAAGCUUGAAUGAAAAGUUCGACAAAUUUCUAGAGAGGUGUGAUUCCAGGAGAUAUGAAGUUACCUUCAGGAAUUUGGAGACCCAAAGUGAUGAGGUUGUUGAUGAGGAGAAGGUGGAGAGAGAAGCGGAAAAGAUAGAAGAGGAGAAAAUAGAGGAAGAUGAAGCAGAAAGGUUGAGUAAGGGAGAGAAAGAUGAGGAGAAAGAAAAAGCAGUGGUUGAGAAAAAAAGAAAAAAAUAAGAGAAUAAGAAAAAAGAAAAAAAGAAAGUGGAAGAAGCAGAAGGUUGAGAAAAAAAGGAAGAGAGGAAAGAAGAAAAGAUCAUAUGAAAAACCCCUUCCUCAUAAAAAGAAAAAUCAUAGGAAGGAAAAGAAGUUCAAGUACUGUAUGGAGAUCUUN
Molecule: long non-coding RNA, 438 nt
Filed under: Vigna radiata
Lineage: Eukaryota; Viridiplantae; Streptophyta; Magnoliopsida; Fabales; Fabaceae
Description: long non-coding RNA (VRAD_LNC013640)
Source: RNAcentral